AACUGCAGAUUGGAGAAAGGGGUGCGCGUGAUGACGUUCCUUAGUUUAAGUAAAAUUGAACGCUAGUACAGAUAACUAGUAACUGUUUAGUGUCAACAGCUAUACGACAAGAUUAAAGUUGACUGCGCUGUUUUAACACUUUGUUCAACACUCAGCUGAACCUGUAUUAUCUAUAGAAUACAAACAAGAACAUUGGACAUGCAUAUUAUUACUCUUCUUGAGUUUAAAGCUAUGUUUAUCACCACUGCAGGGUUGAUUAUACUAUUCCUCAACUGUACAGCCGUUCUUAUCAUGUACAGAAUCAUCAACAGCUUGUACAGUAUAGCUCCUAGUAUAUCCGUACACUAUGUACAGGAGGAAAUAUCUAGAGAAAUAAACCCGGCACUGAGUUGUAAAAAUGUGACACUGAGUUCUGAAAACGAGAGAACAAGUCAAUCAAGAGUGGAUCUGAAUUUGGAAAACGAGACCUUGAGUCUAGAAAUUGAAACCGAGAUGUUGAGCCAAGAGAACUAGACCCAGAGUUUACGUGCCAUUGAGUCAAGAAAUAAAGGUUUUGUAAAAGAAGAUAAUUCCCGUGAACCAUAAUUGCUGCAGUCCCAAGAAGAUUUUCAGCCAACCGAUCAUCUUGUUUCAUGAUAAAUUUACGAUUCUACUAAAUAUGACCGUCCAAGUUGAUAAAAUCAAAAUAUCCUAUUACAUCUCUAGCUUUGUAUAUAUAUUGAUGGAACACAAAUCUAUUUUUUUAGAGUUAUAAACAACUCUAUUGUAUUUUGUUACUUGUUAUAUAAUCAUAAUUUGUACAAAUUUUGUUAAUCAUUUCACGCGUGACAUUACUAAUUUUUUAUUUGUUUCUUAGAUAAAAAUAAAUAUAAGAUUAUUUU
Long non-coding RNA from Eurytemora carolleeae, 881 nucleotides. RefSeq lists it as uncharacterized. The record is from RefSeq and is a predicted model, not a curated record. NCBI's taxonomy places the organism in Eukaryota, Metazoa, Arthropoda, Copepoda, Calanoida, Temoridae. The transcript has 2 exons.